This 253-nucleotide ribosomal RNA is filed under the name uncultured Haliangium sp. RNAcentral's name for it is "partial 16S ribosomal RNA". It matches the Rfam family "Bacterial small subunit ribosomal RNA", at positions 524 to 776 of the family's 1533-position model. The record is from RNAcentral. Lineage: Bacteria; Pseudomonadati; Myxococcota; Haliangiales; Kofleriaceae.
UACAUGGGGUGCAAACGUUGCUCGGAAUUAUUGGGCGUAAAGCGCACGUAGGCGGUCGUUUAAGUCGGAUGUGAAAGCCCUCGGCUUAACCGGGGAAGUGCAUCCGAAACUGAAUGGCUUGAGUACAGAAGAGGGUCGCGGAAUUCCCGGUGUAGAGGUGAAAUUCGUAGAUAUCGGGAGGAACACCGGCGGCGAAGGCGGCGACCUGGGCUGAUACUGACGCUGAGGUGCGAAAGCGUGGGGAGCAAACAGG